Molecule: transfer RNA, 71 nt
Filed under: Loxodonta africana (African savanna elephant)
Lineage: Eukaryota; Metazoa; Chordata; Mammalia; Proboscidea; Elephantidae
Rfam family: tRNA
About the family: Transfer RNA (tRNA) molecules are approximately 80 nucleotides in length. Their secondary structure includes four short double-helical elements and three loops (D, anti-codon, and T loops). Further hydrogen bonds mediate the characteristic L-shaped molecular structure. tRNAs have two regions of fundamental functional importance: the anti-codon, which is responsible for specific mRNA codon recognition, and the 3' end, to which the tRNAs corresponding amino acid is attached (by aminoacyl-tRNA synthetases). tRNAs cope with the degeneracy of the genetic code in two manners: having more than one tRNA (with a specific anti-codon) for a particular amino acid; and 'wobble' base-pairing, i.e. permitting non-standard base-pairing at the 3rd anti-codon position.
Source: Rfam by way of RNAcentral
GCAAUGGUGGUUCAGUAGUACAAUUCUCACUUUCCAAGGGAGAGACCUGGGUUCCAUUCCCAGCCACUGCA